Molecule: ribosomal RNA, 253 nt
Filed under: uncultured bacterium
Lineage: Bacteria
Description: partial 16S ribosomal RNA
Rfam family: Bacterial small subunit ribosomal RNA
Source: RNAcentral
UACGGAGGGUGCAAGCGUUAAUCGGAAUUACUGGGCGUAAAGCGCGCGUAGGCGGCCGGUUAAGUCAGAUGUGAAAGCCCUGGGCUCAACCUGGGAACUGCAUUUGAUACUGGCUGGCUUGAGUCUGGUAGAGGGGGGUGGAAUUCCAGGUGUAGCGGUGAAAUGCGUAGAUAUCUGGAGGAACACCCGUGGCGAAGGCGGCCCCCUGGACCAAGACUGACGCUGAGGUGCGAAAGCGUGGGGAGCAAACAGG